AAGGAGUCUAACAUCUACGCGAGUGUUCGGGUGUCAAACCCGUGCGCGAAGUGAAAGCGAACGGAGGUGGGAACCCUCACGGGUGCACCAUCGACCGAUCCUGAAGUCUUCGGAUGGAUUUGAGUAAGAGCGUAGCUGUUGGGACCCGAAAGAUGGUGAACUAUGCCUGAAUAGGGCGAAGCCAGAGGAAACUCUGGUGGAGGCUCGUAGAGAUACUGACGUGCAAAUCGUUCUUCGAACUUGGGUAUAGGGGCGAAAGACUAAUCGAACCAUCUAGUAGCUGGUUCCCUC
RNAcentral lists this unclassified non-coding RNA (291 nucleotides) under uncultured fungus. RNAcentral describes it as "partial contains 5.8S rRNA, ITS2 and 28S rRNA". It matches the Rfam family "Eukaryotic large subunit ribosomal RNA", at positions 668 to 961 of the family's 3401-position model. Lineage: Eukaryota; Fungi. The record is from RNAcentral.